This 468-nucleotide ribosomal RNA is filed under the name uncultured bacterium. Its description in RNAcentral is "partial 16S ribosomal RNA". It matches the Rfam family "Bacterial small subunit ribosomal RNA", at positions 28 to 507 of the family's 1533-position model. The record is from RNAcentral.
GACGAACGCUGGCGGCGUGCUUAACACAUGCAAGUCGAACGGAAAGGCCCUGCUUUUGUGGGGUGCUCGAGUGGCGAACGGGUGAGUAACACGUGAGUAACCUGCCCUUGACUUUGGGAUAACUUCAGGAAACUGGGGCUAAUACCGGAUAGGAGCUCCUGCUGCAUGGUGGGGGUUGGAAAGUUUCGGCGGUUGGGGAUGGACUCGCGGCUUAUCAGCUUGUUGGUGGGGUAGUGGCUUACCAAGGCUUUGACGGGUAGCCGGCCUGAGAGGGUGACCGGCCACAUUAGGACUGAGAGACUGCCCAGACUCGUACGGGAGGGAGCAGUUGGGAAUAUUGCACAAUGGACGGAAGCCUGAUGCAGCAACGCCGCGUGCGGGAUGACGGCGUUCAGGUAGUAAACCGCUUUCGCCUGUGACGAAGCGUGAGUGACGGUAAUGGGUAAAGAAGCACCGGCUAACUACGUG